GACGAACGCUGGCGGCGUGCUUAACACAUGCAAGUCGAACGGAAAGGCCCUGCUUUUGUGGGGUGCUCGAGUGGCGAGCGGGUGAGUAACACGUGAGUAACCUGCCCUUGACUUUGGUAUAACUUCAGGAAACUGGGGCUAAUACCGGAUAGGAGCUCCUGCUGCAUGGUGGGGGUUGGAAAGUUUCGGCGGUUGGGGAUGGACUCGCGGCUUAUCAGUUUGUUGGUGGGGUAGUGGCUUACCAAGGCUUUGACGGGUAGCCGACCUGAGAGGGUGACCGGCCACAUUAGGACUAAGAUACGGCCCAGACUCCUACGGUAGACAGCAGUGGGAAAUAUUGCACAAUGAGCGGAAGCCUGAUACAGCAACGCCGCGUUCGUAAUGACGGCCUUCGGGUUGUAAACCGCUUUCGCCUGUUACGAAGCGUGAGUGACGGUAAUGAAUAAAGAAGCACCGGCUAACUACAUG
Molecule: ribosomal RNA, 468 nt
Filed under: uncultured bacterium
Lineage: Bacteria
Description: partial 16S ribosomal RNA
Rfam family: Bacterial small subunit ribosomal RNA
Source: RNAcentral